This 221-nucleotide ribosomal RNA is filed under the name uncultured bacterium. Its description in RNAcentral is "partial 16S ribosomal RNA". It matches the Rfam family "Bacterial small subunit ribosomal RNA", at positions 1277 to 1500 of the family's 1533-position model. The record is from RNAcentral.
UAAACGUCUCAGUUCGGAUUGUAGUCUGCAACUCGACUACAUGAAGCUGGAAUCGCUAGUAAUCGCAGAUCAGAAUGCUGCGGUGAAUACGUUCCCGGGUCUUGUACACACCGCCCGUCACACCAUGGGAGUCGGAAAUGCCCGAAGCCGGUGACCCAACCAAAAGGAGGGAGCCGUCGAAGGCAGGUCUGAUAACUGGGGUGAAGUCGUAACAAGGUAUC